AAGAGUAGCCUUAGGUGAGGACUCAGAAUCAGUGGUGACACUAGAGGGCACAUAUGGACAUAAGGUUUAGAUUUAUUCAAUAAAACAUUCUUGACCUUGGUUUAAGUGAGUUCAUGGCAAAGCCUAAACUUGAGAUAUUGCCCAAAGAUUAGCCUAUAUCAUGUGAGGUUAUAAAUAUUUUAGUAUUUAUGUAAACUCCAGGAAAGUUCAAACAGUCAAAUAGUUGUAGAAGAAGUUCUAAUAUAAUUCCUUUGAUCUGGACAGGGCUUCUCAGUGAACCUCAAGCAGAAAACAAAGUGGAAUAAGUAGAGUUAUUAAACUGAAAUUGUUAUUAAAGCCUUUAAAGAUCUUUGCCUACCUCACCAGCUUUAUCUUAUUAUCAUGACUUAUUUGCCUUCUUCUUCAAGCUAUUCCAAUUUUUCCCAGUUCUUUGAACUUCUCAUGUUAGUUCCAAUCUGGGGCCUUUAAUUGUGCCAUAUCCUCUUUGUAGAAAAAUUUCCCAAGACCUCUCCUCACAUUCAACCAAUACAUAUUUAAUUGUCUAUUAUGUACCCUAACUCUAUGAUUAUGCUGAAUAUACUAUAGUAAAUGAAGAUAUCUGUUCCUCAUCCUCUUGGAGCCUACAAUGUAAUGAAGGAGAUAGAAGAUAAACAAGUAGGCAAACUAAAUUGUAUCAUUACAAAUUCUUCAGGUGUCAAGAAUAAAACCACUGAAAUGGAGAAAACAUUUUAGAAUUGAUUGCAAUAAUAGUUUUAUAAUUCCAUUGAAUUGUCCAUUUUAUAUGGGUGAAUUUUAGUGUUAUAAAUUUUAUAUCAAUAAAGCUAUGUUUAACACAAUGAAUAAAACUGGUGAGUAUAAUGAUAACAAGUAACCAAAUACAAUUCUGGAUUCUGAAAUGAGACCUACUGGAUAAGAAGGAGUAGGCACCAGGAGGCUGAUGGGGCAGUGGGGAGAAAUAUGGAUGAUUAAAGUGGCUACCACUCCAAUAAAUAACAUGUGCAAUGUUCUUGAAGUGAAAAACAAAUCAAUGGGUUUGAGGGAAUGAGAGAAAGCCAAAGUGGCUUGGGGAUUCAGAGAACAACAAAAUAAUUUUAGCCACAGAUGAUACUGGCAAGCAGGGCAGAGGCUAAUCCCAUACAAUAGUGUAAAAUGGUAGGGGUUUUGUCAAUAUGAAAUAAAGAGCUGGUGUUAGGAUAAUAUUUAUAUUAUAAAAAGCUAAUUCUAUGAAGUAUAUAGAGUGGGAAUGAAUCAAAUUGGAAUGGAACUGAUGAGAGCACGUGGAGACUAUUUACUCAACCAAACAAGAGAUGAAGUUGAACUGAGCAUAUUUGGUUGCUGGGAGAAAACUCUCCACAGAUAAGGAAUUUCUCCACAUCUUCUGAGCAAAAUACAUUGACAACUUUGUUCAAAGAUUGGCAUAACAGAUAUCCCUUGAAGUUAGAUAUAUUGUCUCCCUCUAGGUGAGAAGGAAUAUUUGUUUCCUGACAAGGAUAAUAAAGAUAAUUUCGUCCCUGGAGAAGAAGGUUUGGACAAGUUUGCUAGCCACUCCUAUAAAAUAUUGGGAGUUUCAGUGUUUAUCAGUGUUCUUCAGCUGUGACACAAACCCUUGUAACCACAUUGUCCACCAGGUCCUGCCUCUAUAGUACCCACAUGGGACUUGGGGGAAAAUGUAACUGAAAUAAACAUGGAGUUUAUCCUGCCUACUGUCUAAGUUCAUUUGAACUCAUUGUCUCUUUAUAACUUCUAUGUAAAUGUGUGUAGCCAGCCUAGUAGCUUCCAUGUAAGAGAAACUGCUUGAUUCAGGAUUAGAUACUGAGUUAAAGAUACAGGGUUUGGGGUGCAGGAGUGGGGGGCUAUCCCUGCAUACACUACAGGCAGAUGAAAACACCAUAACUAGGGACAGGUCAGGAAUUCAUCACAGAAGGACAUGGCAUGGCAUAGGUGAAUGUGUGCAGCACAUUUAAUUCUAAUUAUUAGUGAGAUAAAUCUAGCACAUACACUUGAGGACCAUAGCAUCUUUUUUUUUGGUGAACAAAGUACACUAAUCAUCUAGUAAAAUGAUCACUUGGGAGAGAGCCCGAAGAACUAGGUCCUAUUUCCAUGCUGUCAUUAACUAGUUAUAGAACUUUAAAUAAGUUAUUUUACAUCUCUGGAAUAUACUUUUCUCAUGUAUAAAAUCAAGGGGUGAAGGGCUUCUCAUUGUUACAUUCUAGCAUUUUAGGAUGUCUAUAAAUAAAGUCAAGUAUUUUAGUAGAGCAGUAUCUAUUUUUUUUCUUUUUAUGGCUGCACCUGUGGCAUAUGGAAGUUCCUAGGCUAGGGGUCAAAUAGGAGCUGCAGCUGUGGUCUACACCAUAGCCAUGGCAACACCAGAUCUGAGCCACAUCUGCAAUCUAUGCUACAACCUGCAGCAAUGUCAGAUCCUUAACCCACUAUGCAAGGCCAGAGAUGGAACCGACAUCCUCAUACAGACAACAUUGAGUCCUUAAGCCACUAAGCCACAAUAGGAACUCCUAGAAACAUUCUUAAAUGUUAUUGUAACAAACUAUACCCAAAUUUAGAACAGCAACUUAUUUUGCUGAUGUUUUUGAAGGUCAGCAAUGCAGGCUGGGCAUAACUGGGUUAUUCUGCUGUUCUGGACCAGGUUUGGAUAAUCUUCUCUGGAAUUUACUCAUAAGUCUGUUGACAACAGUUGGCUGGCUGACUGCUGGCCAGCAUUUCUAUUUCCACCAUUUAGCCUCUAUCCUUUAGCAUUUUAUCACAGGCUCCUUCACUUGGUAUAGGGUUCCAAGGAAAGAAAGAGGGAAAACCUAAUAAAAAAAGUACUUGUCAAGUCUCUCCAAAUUUCAAGUAUACUUUCAUUCUUUUGGCCUAAGCAAGUCAUAAAACCAAGCCAAGAGUCAAUGUGGAAGGACACAGGGAAGACCGAACAUGAUGAAGACAUUAAUACCACACAUUUAUUUAUAGAUAAAUUUGAAAAUAACAAAUAGAAUUUUUCAGAGUUUGAAUCUUUAUAUUAGUUUGGGGAAUAUGGCUGUUGUCAUUAUUCAUUCUUCAAAGAUUUAAUUCUGACCAAACACUGAUAUGCAUUAGCAUGGCACUUUAUUACAGAGAGCUAUGUCAUUACAAAGGUAUUUUUCAAUCCAAAACUGAUAAGGAGAGCUAAUCCAAUUUGUAGCUAAUAUCUUUAAGUGUUGGAAGCUAUUAUCCUUCCUGGCAGCUUUUUGUCUCCCAUGACCAGAGUUAUAAUAACUAUU
RNAcentral lists this long non-coding RNA (3254 nucleotides) under Sus scrofa (pig). Its description in RNAcentral is "lncRNA (ENSSSCG00015012046.1)". Lineage: Eukaryota; Metazoa; Chordata; Mammalia; Artiodactyla; Suidae. The record is from RNAcentral.